AACAGCGGAAAGUGCUUGCACUUUCCAGUAAGUGGCGAACGGGUGAGUAACACGUGAAUAACCUACCUCAAAGUCUGGGAUAACCAUUGGAAACAGUGACUAAUACCGGAUAAAACCCAAGUGCACAUGCACUAAGGUUAAAAGCUGCGUUUGCAGCGCUUUAAGAUGGAUUCGCGGUGCAUUAGUUAGUUGGUGAGGUAAAGGCUCACCAAGACGAUGAUGCAUAGCCGAGUUGAGAGACUGACCGGCCACAUUGGGACUGAGACACGGCCCAAACUCCUACGGGAGGCUGCAGUAGGGAAUCUUCCACAAUGGGCGCAAGCCUGAUGGAGCAACGCCGCGUGUGUGAUGAAGGCUUUCGGGUCGUAAAGCACUGUUGUAUGGGAAGAACGGGUUUAAGAGGAAAUGCUUAAACAGUGACGGUACCAUACCAGAAAGGGACGGCUAAAUACGUGCCAGCAGCCGCGGUAAUACGUAUGUCCCGAGCGUUAUCCGGAUUUAUUGGGCGUAAAGCGAGCGCAGACGGUUGCUUAAGUCUGAAGUGAAAGCCCACAGCUCAACUGUGGAAUGGCUUUGGAAACUGGGCAACUUGAGUGCAGUAGAGGUAAGUGGAACUCCAUGUGUAGCGGUGGAAUGCGUAGAUAUAUGGAAGAACACCAGUGGCGAAGGCGGCUUACUGGACUGCAACUGACGUUGAGGCUCGAAAGUGUGGGUAGCAAACAGGAUUAGAUACCCUGGUAGUCCACACCGUAAACGAUGGAUACUAGUUGUUAGAGGGUUUCCGCCCUUUAGUGACGAAGCAAACGCAUUAGGUAUCCCGCCUGGGGAGUACGACCGCAAGGUUGAAACUCAAAGGAAUUGACGGGGACCCGCACAAGCG
RNAcentral lists this ribosomal RNA (880 nucleotides) under Fructobacillus fructosus. RNAcentral's name for it is "bacterial SSU rRNA". It matches the Rfam family "Bacterial small subunit ribosomal RNA", at positions 65 to 931 of the family's 1533-position model. The record is from RNAcentral. Lineage: Bacteria; Bacillati; Bacillota; Bacilli; Lactobacillales; Lactobacillaceae.